Molecule: long non-coding RNA, 2451 nt
Organism: Alexandromys fortis (reed vole)
Lineage: Eukaryota; Metazoa; Chordata; Mammalia; Rodentia; Cricetidae
Exons: 7
Source: RefSeq, a predicted model, not a curated record
AGGACACCUGUGUUUGAGUUGCAAGUAAAGAUGUGAUAACCUGCUAAGAAGAGCAGCCUGUCAAGAAGCUCAGGUGUUUGGUAACCAGCUCAUUCCUCCCAACACACACGUGAAGAGAGCCACAGUCUUUCUCAAUCCUGCAGCCUGCAAAUGCAAAGCCAGAACUCUAUUUGAGAAAAAUGCUGCCCCAAUUUUACACCUGUCUGGCAUGGAUGUGACUGUUGUCAAGGUACUGGUAUCUUGGUCCACUGAAAAUCAAAGCAGCCCACUUUUUCAGCACUCUACAGAGCAAAGAAGACUUUACGAACAUUUGCAUCGAGCCUGAUACUGUCAGCAAAGGAGAUUUCAUAACCAUAGGGGAACUGAGGGGUCCUUCAGCAUCAACAGCGAGGAGUAUGAAGCCAUGCCUGUGGAGGUGGCGCUGCUGCCCAGGAAACUGCAGUUGUUCUGUGACCCACGGAAGAGGGAGCAGAUGCUGCAGGGCCGACUAGCAUACGGACAGGGAGAACUAAAGAUGCAGGUGAAAGAAAGCUGAAUUAGACGACCCUUGGAACAAAACAAUUUUUUUGCUGGAUUAUCUAUGUGGGCCAAGUAUAAUCAUAAUGUUGCUUUUAAGUGCAAGAGAGAGCCAGAGAGGGACCAACCAUUCUUUCCAUUGCAAAGGGAAGGAGUCAUUCACCAAAGAAGGCAGGAAUUUUCUAGAGCUGACAGAGACAUGAGCAUAGAUUUCCUGCUUAGCUUCAGGAAAUUCAGCCAACACUUGAUUUCAGUGGCAGGAAGUGAAGAGAGAUGGGCCUCAUCUUACUCACUUGCAUAACUGUCCAUAGGUUCAGUAUCUUACAGUCUGUUGAACUAGGGCUUAGUUCCUUGCUGGCUCUUGACCUGGUGAUUCUUUUUAUUCCCUGUCACAUAUUCCAGGACAGUUCGUAGCAUUAUGACUAUCUUCAGUCAAAGUAAUGUUUGCAUUAUUUAAAAAUACAGUUUUAAUAAAUGAGUCCAUGUAGAAAGCUGUACAAAGGCUAGAGGCUGGAGAAGAGACACUAUGAUCAGGUCAACAAAAGGAAAGCCCCUUUUGGAUCAUAGUAUGGUUAUUUUUUAAAAUUAGGCAAAUAUCUACCUUAAAACUCAGCAAUACCCCUUUUGAGCCUAAACACAAAAGUUGUUUAACCAUACCAUAAGGACCUGUGCUCAGCUAUGCUUAUAGCAGAAUAACUUUAUCAUAGCCAGAUUUUGAAAACAACCCAAAUGUAUCUCUUUUACACCUAGGAUAAAAGAGACAUCCUCCUUUUAAACAGCCAUGAAUACCAAAAAAUAUCUUGGAGUAACUCUAAGCAAGCAGGACAGAAGUUUGGGUCCUGUCAUCUUUGCUUAUGAAGGGGGAACUGUUUAUUUUUAUUUUUAUUUUUAACCAUUAUCCCUUGUUAGAGUGUAACUCUUGCCCUUGAUAAAUUUAGUAAGAGGUCUGAAUCUCAGCAGUCCAAUGUUGUAGGCUCAUCAUAGAUCAAUAGAGAGCACCAGGUACCAGUUUCCUGUCCUCUUGGGAUCUGGGAGAGUUAGGUUACACAGGUACUGAUGUUGAGGGGUUGGAGUCCCCAAACAUACUUUUGUUAAGGUUAACUUUUUCUGUUGCCCCCAUCUACAGGACGUAUGAGUGUUGAAACUGCCAGAUGAGGCUAUUUUCUCAUAAUAGGGAGAUCCUGCUGACAGGCAUAGCCAGCAAGACUGUGUCAAGCUGGGGUCAGUACUAUUUAGCAAGAAAAAGGCUCCCUGCACAAGGUUGAAUAGUUCUUGGCUGGUGGUGGGAGGUGUCAGCAGAGAAGCAGGGAGAGUAGCUUAGUCCAGUCGGCAGCAGCAGGCCCUGGUCAGAUAGUACUUGGUUCUCUACCUUAGCAUAAUUGGGAAGGUGGCACCUAAAUCUUGCUGCUGUAUCUUGUUUGGGAAACACCAUCGCAUGCCCCAAGUCCUUCCUGACACCCAUGGAGACAAUCCUGCUGCUUGCCCCUGGGAGACAAGUGUGGGAGAUGUCACAGGUUCCUGUGCUCCAUAUGGAGCUUUGCUUUGGAAGUAUAAUUUUUACGAACAGUUAUCCAGUCCCAAGAAGAACUAGGUUUUCAAUAAGCAUCCCCAGUAGUUUUAUAUUUUCAGGUACCACAGUAUAAAAAUCUAGCUUUCCCAGGUAAUGAUGUAGGGAACCUGGUCUGGAUGGCCAUGUGGGCAGGUUUGGAAGUUUUUUUUUUUUUCUUAAACCAAUCUAUAUAUUUUAAUAAUGUCUUCACUUUAGAAUGGAAGUAAAAAAAUCUGUUGUGUUGUGGGAGAGUUUAUGCCUUUUUUUGUAAUAUAAUUUUUUUAUUGAAAAAAAUUCUGCCUCCUCCUCGCCUCCCAUUUCCCUCCCCGUCUCCCUUUUCCCUCCCCCUCCUCCCACUGUUUUUCCCUUCCCCCCACUCCUCUCCC